This 478-nucleotide ribosomal RNA is filed under the name uncultured bacterium. RNAcentral's name for it is "bacterial SSU rRNA". It matches the Rfam family "Bacterial small subunit ribosomal RNA", at positions 15 to 518 of the family's 1533-position model. The record is from RNAcentral.
GAUCAUGGCUCAGAUUGAACGCUGGCGGCAGGCCUAAUACAUGCAAGUCGAACGGUAACAUAGGAAAAGCUUGCUUUCCUGAUGACGAGUGGCGGACGGGUGAGUAAUAUUGGGAAGCUACCUGAUAGAGGGGGACAACAGUUGGAAACGACUGCUAAUACCGCAUACAGCCUGAGGGUGAAAGCAGCAAUGCGCUAUCAGAUGCGCCCAAAUGGGAUUAGCUAGUAGGUGAGGUAAAGGCUCACCUAGGCGACGAUCUCUAGCUGGUCUGAGAGGAUGAUCAGCCACAUUGGGACUGAGACACGGCCCAGACUCCUACGGGAGGCAGCAGUAGGGAAUAUUGCACAAUGGAGGAAACUCUGAAUGCAGCCAUGCCGCGUGUGUGAAGAAGGCCUUCGGGUUGUAAAGCACUUUCGGAGGGGAGGAGAAUGACGUUACCCUCAGAAGAAGCACCGGCUAACUCCGUGCCAGCCGCCGC